This 501-nucleotide ribosomal RNA is filed under the name uncultured bacterium. Its description in RNAcentral is "partial 16S ribosomal RNA". It matches the Rfam family "Bacterial small subunit ribosomal RNA", at positions 30 to 523 of the family's 1533-position model. The record is from RNAcentral.
AUUGAACGCUGGCGGCAUGCCUUACACAUGCAAGUCGAACGGCAGCACGGGUGCUUGCACCUGGUGGCGAGUGGCGAACGGGUGAGUAAUAUAUCGGAACGUACCUUAUUGUGGGGGAUAACGCAGCGAAAGCUGUGCUAAUACCGCAUAAUCCCUAAGGGGGAAAGCGGGGGACCGUAAGGCCUCGCGCAAUUAGAGCGGCCGAUACCUGAUUAGCUAGUUGGUGAGGUAAGGGCGCGCCAAGGCAACGAUCAGUAGCUGGUCUGAGAGGACGAUCAGCCACACUGGGACUGAGACACGGCCCAGACUCCUACGGGAGGCAGCAGUGGGGAAUUUUGGACAAUGGGGGCAACCCUGAUCCAGCAAUGCCGCGUGAGUGAAGAAGGCCUUCGGGUUGUAAAGCUCUUUUGUCAGGGAAGAAACAGCAGCUCUAACACAGUUUGCGAAUGACGGUACCUGAAGAAUAAGCACCGGCUAACUACGUGCCAGCCGCCGCGGUAA